RNAcentral lists this ribosomal RNA (565 nucleotides) under uncultured Glomus. Its description in RNAcentral is "SSU rRNA". It matches the Rfam family "Eukaryotic small subunit ribosomal RNA", at positions 546 to 1106 of the family's 1831-position model. Lineage: Eukaryota; Fungi; Glomeromycota; Glomeromycetes; Glomerales; Glomeraceae. The record is from RNAcentral.
AAUUGGAGGGCAAGUCUGGUGCCAGCAGCCGCGGUAAUUCCAGCUCCAAUAGCGUAUAUUAAAGUUGUUGCAGUUAAAAAGCUCGUAGUUGAAUUUCGGGAUUGACACAUCGGUCGUGCCUUAAGGGGUAUGAACUGGUGUAGUCAAUUUCUCACCUUCUGGAGAACCGCGAUGCCCUUAAUUGGGUGUCACGGGGAACCAGGACCUUUACUUUGAAAAAAUUAGAGUGUUUAAAGCAGGCAUUUUGCUUGAAUACAUUAGCAUGGAAUAAUAAAAUAGGACGGCAUGAUUCUAUUUUGUUGGUUUCUAGGAUCACCGUAAUGAUUAAUAGGGAUAGUUGGGGGCAUUAGUAUUCAAUUGUCAGAGGUGAAAUUCUUGGAUUUAUUGAAGACUAGCUACUGCGAAAGCAUUUGCCAAGGAUGUUUUCAUUAAUCAAGAACGAAAGUUAGGGGAUCGAAGACGAUCAGAUACCGUCGUAGUCUUAACCAUAAACUAUGCCGACUAGGAAUCAGACGAUGUUAAUUUUUUAAUGACUCGUUUGGCACCUUACGGGAAACCAAAGUGU